This is a non-coding RNA of Podarcis lilfordi (Lilford's wall lizard), 303 nucleotides long. The record is from the annotation of a GenBank genome assembly. Lineage: Eukaryota; Metazoa; Chordata; Lepidosauria; Squamata; Lacertidae.
AUAGAAACUAAGAGGUUUUUAGCUGUAAUGCUUUAAGAGACAUGGAAAAAAAGGUUAACAAUUGGGUAAAAGAUUAAUGGUAAGGAUUUGCUGAACCAACAAAUUGAAUUGGAAUACAAAGAAGGGAGGUAUGAGGAGGUCCGGGGAAAUAAGAGUAAGGAAGAUAGGUUAUGGAACAUUAUUGUGUUUUUAACUGUUUUAUUUUGUAUGUUUUUUUUUUCUUAUUUUUUACUGUUUUUGUUAUAUCUUAAAACUUUAUACUUUUUCUUUAUUCUGUACUUUCAUGUAUCUUUAAUAAAUAUC